Molecule: long non-coding RNA, 590 nt
Filed under: Cricetulus griseus (Chinese hamster)
Lineage: Eukaryota; Metazoa; Chordata; Mammalia; Rodentia; Cricetidae
Description: lncRNA (ENSCGRG00000025623.1)
Source: RNAcentral
AUGGCCACACCCUGUUGGAGGACAGAGCUGAGAGCGGUGACAAUUUGUAGAAGCAGCUGGCGGGUGGCUCACGGACAUCAAGCCCUGUCCCUGGUUGUCUCGGACUUCAUGGAAGGAGGGAGAAAGCAGUUGCAAACUCUAAGCCACCCUUCUCUGGCUAACAUUCAGUCUCAGGCUGUCCCUCCCCUCUCCAGAUUUACCAUCUCAUCUGCCUCCGACCCAGCCAAUCCUCCUCCUCCUCCCCGGGGAACCCUGCCUCUUAGACUCAGAGCACAGGGCAGAAAUAAUGGCUGUGAGAAAUCCUUCACACAUGUCCUAAAGGGGUCAGGAGGACACAGGAAUCAGGGAGGUGGGGACCCUAGAAACACAGGUGCUCGAUGUCUGGUAGACCUACCAGAUGGAAAGGAGAGAGGGGUUUUGGAGUCCAGGGGGCAGACCCACACAGUCAUAAUCAAAUACAAGACAUGACCAGGACAUACAGGGCGAAGGGGCACUGCCCACCAUGCCUGUUACUGCUGGGUGCAGUUUCCUGAUGGCUGUCUAGGAGGACAUCUGCCAUGGUAGCCUCUGCCUUGACCCUUCUGUCUUCA